RNAcentral lists this unclassified non-coding RNA (329 nucleotides) under soil metagenome. RNAcentral describes it as "partial contains 5.8S ribosomal RNA, internal transcribed spacer 2, and large subunit ribosomal RNA". The stretch from base 1 to 120 matches the Rfam family "5.8S ribosomal RNA", at positions 35 to 154 of the family's 154-position model. The record is from RNAcentral.
GAUGAAGAACGUAGCGAAAUGCGAUAAGUAAUGUGAAUUGCAGAAUUCAGUGAAUCAUCGAAUCUUUGAACGCACUUUGCGCCCCUUGGUAUUCCGGGGGGCAUGCCUCUUCCAGCGUCAUUUCACCCCUCAAGCUCUGCUUGGUUUUGGGCCGCGCCGGCAACGGCGGGCCUCGAAAAUAGUGGCGACGCCAUCGUGCUCUCAGCGUAGUAAUUCUUCUCGCUGUUGGGUCCCGGUGGUCGUCCGCCAGCAACCCCCAACUUUCUUAAGUUUGACCUGGGAUGAGGUAGGGAUACCCGCUGAACUUAAGCAUAUCAAUAAGCGGAGGA